This is a long non-coding RNA of Cuculus canorus (common cuckoo), 5060 nucleotides long. RefSeq lists it as uncharacterized. Lineage: Eukaryota; Metazoa; Chordata; Aves; Cuculiformes; Cuculidae. The record is from RefSeq and is a predicted model, not a curated record. The transcript has 4 exons.
GGUCGCGGGGCCUGAGGCGCUGCCGCCGCCAUCUUGGGGCAGUCGCGUCUCUCCGGUGAGGGUGGGCCGCCCUCGCUCAGGGUGGAGUUCAGGGGCCUCCCGGUACUUGGGUUCGAAGGGACCUCCAAGCCCAUCCAGUUCCACUCCCUGCUAUGAGUGGAGACACCUCGCACUGGAUCAGGGCCCCAUCCAACCUGGCUUUGAACACCUCCAGGGAUGGGGUAGCCAUAGCUUCCAUGGGCAACCUGGGCCAGGGCCUCACCACCCUCAUAGUGGAGAAUUUCUUCCUCAUAUUCAAUCUAAAUAUUCCCCCAACUAAUUUAAAGCCAUUCCCUGUUGUCCUUUUACUCCUUGCCCUUGUAAUAAGCCCCUCCCCAGCUUUCCUGCAGCCCCUUUCAGUGCUGGGAGCUGCUCUAAGGUCCUCCUGGAGCCUUCUGUUUUCAGGCUCCCCAGGGAAGUGGUUGAUUCCUCUAUACUGGACGGGUGAGGCUCAGCUUGAUGAGGUGCUGGGCCAUCUCAUUUAAACUAUGCAUCACCAAAAAAGGCUGGAGCAGAUGAUCCCUGAGGUCCCUUUCAACCUGGAAUUCCUGUCAGCAGGGUUGAAGGGAGGUGAGUAGCCCCUCUCCACCUCCUGAUUCAAUACCUCCAGGAACGUUUGUCCCAUAACCUGUCUGGGGAAGGAGGGUCAGGGGCUGGCCAGCCCUCCCGUUGGUGCUCAUCUGGAAGAUGUGUAGCAUUUGCCCUUUUCCAGUUAUCAGGAACCUCUACUAAUCGCCAUGACUGUUCAAAAAAUAAGAGAGCAACCUCACAGCGAUGUGGUAUUCACUGUUACCGCUAGACAGAAGGUUUGAAAUGCAGGAGUGCUGUCUUUUCAUCCUGAUGGAGACCGAAAGUGCUAAUAGCAUGUAGAAAGUGGUAUCCCGGCCUCCUCAACUUCAGCGUCCAUCUUGGCAACUUCAGUCAUUGCUGCAGCCUCAGCUGGGAAAAUCCAUCACUCUGGCUCUCACUUCAGAGCUUCAGAGAAAGAAGAAUUUCUCCUGUAGCUACAGCUGAUAUGGUUGAACCAGGCUUGUGUUUAAGCCCUGCUAGAUGCUGCUGAGGAGCACUGCGACCUGUAGCAGAUUAAAAUACUUCAUGGAAGGAGAGCUGAAUUUUAGCGUUCAAGCAGUAAACCAGGAAGUCAAGACUUCUGGGAAAACACAGAUGUAGAAAGGCUGAGUGAAAAUGCACUUUUGACUGACCGAAGGUGAUUGAACAGGAUGCCUAAGGAGGACACUUCUGUUACUGUGCCCAGAAGAAAUGGAGCUCCUCCCUGUGCUGAUCCUCCCUUUGUGUCAUGCCUGCGGCAAUGGUGCCAUCUGUGCCCAGGACAUCAGCUGAUGGAGCUGAACCACAUCUCCUGGAAGCAUCUGGAGAUGGCAUGGGAAUGGGAGAAUGGCAGCGAUGAGACGGGAUGAGCUGAGCUCUAUGAUUAUAUCAAACCAGCUGAGCUGCCUACUUGUGAAGAGAUGGUCAUCAGCAGCACACACCGUGUGUUAGAUUCAUCUGUCUCAGGCCUUGCGCAGACUCUUUGCUGCUUUAAAGAGCAGACUUUAAGGCACUUGCUAAAAGUACCCUGUUUGUGGUUUCUUUUAGAGGUUUUAUGGUGGAGAAAUGAACUUUCAGAGGUUGUAGGGCUGGGAAGCCCUCCAAAGCCUUGGGUGAAGCAGGCAAAUAGUGCCUUCUGCUCAGAGAUGACUGGCUUGGAGCAGCUACAGGCACCAGCAAUUUCGGGGAGUCAAUCUGCACCCCUGGGAUGGGGCUUCCAGUGAAGGGCUCCUGCAGCCCUCUCACUCAGUAGUAGCUGCAUGGCUGUGGGGGGAUCACUUUCCUAUUCUGACUGUUGCACAUGGUUUCUCUGACCUCGGGGGUUUGAUGCCAACCCCCUCAUGCCUCUCCCUGUUGUGGGACACCAGAAUUCAUGGAGCCCAAGCACCAGGUCCCUCUGCCCCCAGACAAGUACAUCCAGUAAAACAUGACUUCCACAAAGGUAAUUUGGGUAACACCAGUCAUAUGGGGCGAAAAGCAGUGACUUUUAUCUCUUUCAUUAUGGCUUUUGCAAUAAAAAUAUUAUAGGCUGUUUUGCUGUGGUUUCAGUAGCAGUGAGAUGCAGAGGCCAGGGUGGAAGACAACACCAUCUGAGCAGCCCCUGCUGUGCUCGGCAGCAAUUUUCCUUCCCUUCCAGCCAUCCCAAGCCUCAUGCCUCCCCAGGCGAGGAUUUGCAGCUGCUUCUUCUACAGAAGGUGGCUGCUCCUUCCAGCUCCUGGGCCUGGCUCUGUGGCCACUCGUUCUGGAGCCGUGUUCUUUCUUGUGCCUGGUACUAAGCACCUGAUUUUCAGUUAAUACGCAACAGUUUAGGCCAAUGACGGGCUUAGGCUCAAGAGAAGAUAAGCAGGAGAGAGAAUAGCAACAUGAUACUGAAGAGAAACACUUUGGGAUGGAGGGGAUGGAUUGAGUUAUGGUCUAGAAACCUGCUUGUUGGCAUCUUUAUGAAAAUAUCUGUUAGCGGUCACCUAGAAAGGUCAUGGCCAUAUGGGCUGGAAAAUAAAGUGUCUGGUGGGUUUGCCUUAUGUGACUGAUGUGUUAAAGGUGAUAUUCUGCUUCAUUAAUGGCACUUAGCAUUGGAGUACUCUAUAGGACACUCAGGACGAGUACAGUAUUUUUAACAAGUAAUUUAGAGCCUGUCUUCGCUCCAUGAUUAGCUUGAGGUAUAACUUGAGAGCUGCCAGUAACCUGACGCUUGUGCGUGUCUUCAGCUGGAGCCAAAGGGUGCAUUUACCAGGGGCUGACCUGGCAGGGCCGGUGGGAGUCUGAAGCUGCUGCUGGUGCUCAUCAUGCCGUGGGGCUAAGCCAGCUCCUCAAAACACGCCUCACAGCUCAAGGGCUGUUUUACAGCGCUGACUGCUCUCACUCAGAGCAGACUAACUUGAGAGGAGUUAAUUUAAGUGUAGAUAGCUUCAGCUGACAGUUAAGUGAGGACAACCCCAUAGAGAGCUGAGAAACUGGAUGUAGCUUGAAAAUACACAGAAGAAGUUGGGAGACGGCACAGAUCGGUUCUCAGUUAAAUCCUUCUCUUUUUUUUUUUUUUUCCUUUGGAAAAAAAUUCUUUCCACAGUAGCAGACUCGCAGCUGUUAACUAAUCCCAUAACAAGUGGCAUUUAGCCACACAUUUUCCAAAUUAAAUAUGCUUGCAUGUUGGACUCAUUUCAUACCCUGUAAUACAAAUACUUUCCCUGCUGGGAAAAAAAAAAAAAUUAAAAGAGAAACCCUCUCAGGCAUAGGAAGAGUGGAGAAAGGGAAGAUGGGGUGUGUGCCUGUCUGCGCCAGUGCAGCCUAUGUGCAGCUACCGCUGUCACGGCAGCGUAUGGAGAUUCUGCAAGGAGCACAACAUUUGGUGGAAGAUCUGAUGGGUUAUCAAGGACUGCUCAUGCUUAAAUUAUUAGUUAAGGCUGUGACAUUAAAGAAUUGUUAUUUGGUCAUGGUCUCAUGGCUGUGUUUUGCUAGGAGGUGUUUGAGAAUUCUCUUCUGUGCUGUCACAUAAGCUGUACUUGCCCUUUUGUUUAAUUUUUUUUUUCUUUUCCUCUGGUCAUUUGAAUAAUGUUUUCAGAUCCUCGAUUUAAUGUGGGCUCAAUCUCGCAACAUUUGGAAACAAGCAAUUAACUACACGAACUUGUGCUGGAUCUUUUCAGAGGGUGUUGGAGAGCACCUACCCUACGCCCACCCCCCUGCCUGCCUCCUGCACAGUUUUAAGAAUCCCAUUAAAAUUUUUUCAGGAUCCCCAUCCAAGCCAAAUGCAUUGUUUCCAUGGAAACAAUUAAUGGGGAGAGCAAUUUAUAAGACUGAUGUAAAAAAAUGAGCACUUCAUCAGCCCCCCUGCUGCUCUGAUACACAAUUUCAAGGAAAAGUCUGCGGUGAGGUUUGCAUAAGCUCUGUUCUUAAAAAGGGUGGGGGGACACAGAAAGGAGCCUGCGAGUCCUGUCUGUGGCACAGUGAGCGAUGCCUUUUGUGCUGCGCAGGCAUUAUUAGCUCUUGGAAAAGACUAGUAAAUUCUCAUUUCAUGACGUCUUUUGAAAUGCUUUCCCUUCAGAGAAUGUGUUUUUUUCCCCCUAAUCCCACCCUCUUCCGCAAUACACACGUCUGCGUUUGGGGAAAGGAAUCAUGGCUUGUGAUAUACAAGGCAGCUGGGUCCCCGCGCGGAACCGGGCCUUUGAUUAAAAGGUAUUCAGGAUGCCUUAUAUUGCACUGGCUUUCAAAGGUCUUGCAGGCUCCCAGUUAACAGACCUGCCUUAAAAGUGCUCUCUUUGUUUUGAUUUGUUUUAAUCUCCCAUUACAGCUUUCUCCUGGCCAAUGUUUUGCAUUGAUUUUAUCACUAUGUACACACAAGCUAAAUCAGAAUUUGCUGUUUUAAAUGGAGAGCGAGCAGUGCACGCUGCGUACAGCACGUGCUGUCAUCCUGGACAGGUGUCUGAACAGAACAGGACUUGGAAUUUCCUGAAGAGCUUAUUUGGGGGGAAAAAACCACUAAAAAUUCCAUCCUGCAUGGUUCUGCUGUAGGAGAAACAGGAAUCCUGCCUGUCUGCACUCUGAAAUACGUGGCAGGGAUUUUAGAGCCUGCCAUAAACCAUUACCGUGCAGAUGAAAAUUCAUCUUCUCUCUGCUUCUGUAUUUACUGUGGCUGCUCCCGCAGCCAGAACGGGACGACCCGUGGUGGAGCAGUGGGACCGAAGCAGCUUUGGACUUUGUAGGACUAUCAGUCCAGUGGUCCAGCAGCGCUCCCUGCAUCCAUCAGCACCGGUGUGUUGUGCAGUAAUUAAAUGACUAAACCAAAUAAUAAUGGAGGAGUUGAUUCGUUUCUGUUUUCUCCCUCUUCUGAGGAUGUUUUUCCUGGUUAGGCUGGGGAUAUUUUUUCCUGCAGAGGGCACUCGCCAUCCACGAACGGCGCCCGGCAGAGGCUGCCUGCAGCCCGAGCAGCAUCCAUCCCCCCUAACAAAACAUGAUCUGUGUAUAUAAAAAAAAAUUUA